Long non-coding RNA from Callithrix jacchus (white-tufted-ear marmoset), 876 nucleotides. The record is from Ensembl. Lineage: Eukaryota; Metazoa; Chordata; Mammalia; Primates; Cebidae.
AUGGAAGACCAUGAGCUACCCCGUGAUGUGGAGAAGCCCGCCGCUUGGUGUCACCGCCGUCCCGUUGAGGUCCCACAGGACCUCAUAUUAGAAGACAUUGAGGAUGAUGAGCUACCCCGUGAUGUGGAGAAGCCCGCCACUUGGUGUCACCGCCGUCCCGUUGAGGUCCCGCAGGACCUCAUACUAGAAGACAUUGAGGAUGAUGAGCUAACCCGUGACGAGGAGAAGCCCGCCGCUUGGUGUCACCGCCGUCCCGUUGAGGUCCCGCAGGACCUCAUACUAGAAGACAUUGAGGAUGAUGAGCUACCCCGUGAUGAGGAGAAGCCUGCAGCCCAGUAUUGCCACUGUGCUGUUCAGGUCCCAGAGGACCUCAUUUUGCAAGACAUGGAAGACCAUGAGCUACCCCGUGAUGUGGAGAAGCCAGCAGCUUGGUGUCACCGUCGUCCCGUUGAGGUCUCACAGGACCUCAUAUUUGAAGACAUUGAGGAUGAUGAGCUACCCCGUGAUGUGAAGAAGCCCGCCGUUUGGUGUUACCGCCGUCCCGUUGAGGUCCCGCAGGACCUCAUACUAGAAGACAUUGAGGAUGAUGAGCUACCCCGUGACGAGGAGAAGCCUGCGUCCCACUAUCACCGCCGUCCCGUUGAGGUCCCGCAGGACCUCAUACUAGAAGACAUUGAGGAUGAUGAGCUACCCCGUGACGAGGAGAAGCCUGCGUCCCACUAUCACCGCCGUCCCGUUGAGGUCCCGCAGGACCUCAUACUAGAAGACAUUGAGGAUGAUGAGCUACCCCGUGAUGAGGUAAGAUGCAUUUCUUUGUCUCGAAGAGAAAUUUUUCUUUCUGGGGCCUCUGGAAUAUCAAGUGAAUAUCCUUUUUGA